Non-coding RNA from Ornithorhynchus anatinus (platypus), 138 nucleotides. The record is from Rfam. Lineage: Eukaryota; Metazoa; Chordata; Mammalia; Monotremata; Ornithorhynchidae.
CCCCUCUCAGGAUCAAACCUGGAGAGUUUCCAGUACUCUACCAGUUUCGGUUAUAAGGGGGAGAAUCAAGCAGAGGCAUACACAUUCCGUUCCUACCUUGGCCAGUGGCUAGCGAGUGGAAGGCAAUUUGCUACAAGU